Leopardus geoffroyi (Geoffroy's cat) is the source of this 353-nucleotide long non-coding RNA. RefSeq lists it as uncharacterized. The record is from RefSeq and is a predicted model, not a curated record. NCBI's taxonomy places the organism in Eukaryota, Metazoa, Chordata, Mammalia, Carnivora, Felidae. The transcript is spliced from 2 exons.
CUAGAGCUUCCCAGGGAUCCCCCUCCCUCCCACCACCCCAGAACUGGCAGAAAGGAAGAGGACCAUCCGGUCAGAAACCAGCUAAGUGGUCUCAAGGAACUGUUCCGGCACCCAUCAGGUGGGAUAGCACCAAGGAUCCGGAUGGAGGAAGAGGCCUGGAAACCCACACGGCCCAACAGCAAGUUUUCUAGCAGUUGGAGAUGAAAAUGUCGCCCCAAAGCCCAAGCUCAAGGACACGUGGCCCCCUCUCCUCCUCACCCUGAACCUCCAAUCCUGUUUCCACUUGGGGAGUCACCUGGUCUUCAAGUGCCCCCUGAGGCACAUUAGCCUUUCAAUAAAGCCUUUAACCUCUG